AUUAAACGCUGGCGGCAUGCCUUACACAUGCAAGUCGAACGGCAGCACGGGGGCAACCCUGGUGGCGAGUGGCGGACGGGUGAGUAAAGCAUCGGAACGUAUCCUGGAGUUGGGGGGAUAACGUAGCGAAAGUUACGCUAAUACCGCAUAUUCUGUGAAGCAGGAAAGCGAGGGGAUCGCAAGACCUCGCGCUCUGGGGAGCGGCCGAUGUCGGAUUAGCUAGUUGGUGGGUAAAGCCUACCAAGGCGACGAUCCGUAGCGGGUCUGAGAGGAUGAUCCGCCACACUGGGACUGAGACACGGCCCAGACUCCUAC
RNAcentral lists this ribosomal RNA (315 nucleotides) under uncultured bacterium. RNAcentral describes it as "bacterial SSU rRNA". It matches the Rfam family "Bacterial small subunit ribosomal RNA", at positions 30 to 342 of the family's 1533-position model. The record is from RNAcentral.